CUGAGGGUCAGGCGACUGUUGCAUUAACGUACUUGCGAUUUGAGGAAAAGCCUGCGGUGAUGAAUAGCAGGCGGUCUGCUGCCCCCCGAGCAAAUUUGGUUAGUGAGAUGUUGAGAGAGAAUGUUUUCUUGGUGAAGCUUCUUUGUGCCUAUUUGGAAGCACUCCUGCAAAACCAGCAACUGGGUCUUUCCUCUUCCAUUUCUGAAGCUCUUCCUGCAUCUUAUCAAUUUUGGCUGGAUUCAGAGCCCACAAACAGCCUUUUCGAGAAGAAUUGCCUGACUUGUUUUCAAC
This is a long non-coding RNA of Tyto alba (common barn owl), 291 nucleotides long. RefSeq lists it as uncharacterized. NCBI's taxonomy places the organism in Eukaryota, Metazoa, Chordata, Aves, Strigiformes, Tytonidae. The record is from RefSeq and is a predicted model, not a curated record. The transcript has 3 exons.